UAUUCCAUGGUGUAGUGGUUAGCACAUCUGCCUUGCAUGCAGAAAAUCCUGGGUUUAAUUCCCAGUGGAAUCA
Molecule: non-coding RNA, 73 nt
Organism: Canis lupus familiaris (dog)
Lineage: Eukaryota; Metazoa; Chordata; Mammalia; Carnivora; Canidae
Source: Rfam